Molecule: ribosomal RNA, 758 nt
Filed under: Cladosporium bruhnei
Lineage: Eukaryota; Fungi; Ascomycota; Dothideomycetes; Cladosporiales; Cladosporiaceae
Description: SSU rRNA
Rfam family: Eukaryotic small subunit ribosomal RNA
Source: RNAcentral
AACUGCGAAUGGCUCAUUAAAUCAGUUAUCGUUUAUUUGAUAGUACCUUACUACAUGGAUAACCGUGGUAAUUCUAGAGCUAAUACAUGCUAAAAACCUCGACUUCGGAAGGGGUGUAUUUAUUAGAUAAAAAACCAAUGCCCUUCGGGGCUCCUUGGUGAAUCAUAAUAACUUAACGAAUCGCAUGGCCUUGCGCCGGCGAUGGUUCAUUCAAAUUUCUGCCCUAUCAACUUUCGAUGGUAGGAUAGUGGCCUACCAUGGUAUCAACGGGUAACGGGGAAUUAGGGUUCGACUCCGGAGAGGGAGCCUGAGAAACGGCUACCACAUCCAAGGAAGGCAGCAGGCGCGCAAAUUACCCAAUCCCGACACGGGGAGGUAGUGACAAUAAAUACUGAUACAGGGCUCUUUUGGGUCUUGUAAUUGGAAUGAGUACAAUUUAAAUCCCUUAACGAGGAACAAUUCCCAGGGCAAGUCUGGUGCCAGCAGCCGCGGUAAUUCCAGCUCCAAUAGCGUAUAUUAAAGUUGUUGCAGUUAAAAAGCUCGUAGUUGAACCUUGGGCCUGGCUGGCCGGUCCGCCUCACCGCGUGUACUGGUCCGGCCGGGCCUUUCCUUCUGGGGAACCUCAUGCCCUUCACUGGGCGUGUUGGGGAACCAGGACUUUUACUUUGAAAAAAUUAGAGUGUUCAAAGCAGGCCUUUGCUCGAAUACAUUAGCAUGGAAUAAUAGAAUAGGACGUGUGGUUCUAUUUUGUUGGUUUC